UUGAAAAGUCAGAGGGCGUGAAACCGCUUAGAUGGAAGCGGAUAGAGUUAACAAAACACAGCAGCAAUCAUCCGGUUAGAUGUUGAAUGCGUCGGCUGUUAACGCUUACAACCUUACUGUUGCACUUGUGUAGCAGGGGCAGUUUGUGUUCUGUUGACGUGUACGAUGUUUGACCGGUGCUCUUGCUGUUGUUAUGCAUUGAGGGGCUUGCAGAGGUACGGGAAACCGAAUGUCAGAGGCCUACAUUUUAUGAAUGCAGAAACCUUACGUUGGUUUUUCCGCUAUCCUUUGUAAGUUAUGUUUUACUAUGCCUGCUUUUAGCGUGAUUCAACUGCACUGUUGUAGGUGUGAAGUGGUACGGAUUUGUCGCUUGUCGGCUCCUCCUAUCCUUUGUGCUUGCUUCUGGUGCUGGUUGUCAAUUACUGUAGGCAUUGCUCCACAGUGUAUACAAAAAGUUAAUCACCUAUCCGACCCGUCUUGAAACACGGACCAAGGAGUUUAGCAUAUAUGCAAGUCAUUGGGUGUUGAAAACCUAAAGGCGUAAUGAAAAUAAGAAUAUGGGAUCUGUAUGCGGUGAUAAUGCAUGCAGCGCACCAUAGUCCUGUUAAUAUUGCUUGCAAUUUAGCGGAGAUAGAGCAUAUAUGCUGAGACCCGAAAGAUGGUGAACUAUGCUUGAGCAGGAUGAAGCCAGAGGAAACUCUGGUGGAAGUCCGAAGUGGUUCUGAACGUGCAAAUCGAUCAUCUGACUGAGAUAGGGCAAA
Molecule: ribosomal RNA, 761 nt
Filed under: Spauligodon sp. EAG-2014
Lineage: Eukaryota; Metazoa; Nematoda; Chromadorea; Rhabditida; Pharyngodonidae
Description: eukaryotic LSU rRNA
Rfam family: Eukaryotic large subunit ribosomal RNA
Source: RNAcentral